Molecule: long non-coding RNA, 830 nt
Filed under: Cricetulus griseus (Chinese hamster)
Lineage: Eukaryota; Metazoa; Chordata; Mammalia; Rodentia; Cricetidae
Description: lncRNA (ENSCGRG00015040907.1)
Source: RNAcentral
CCCUCCCAGAUCCACAGUGGUGUACUCUCUUGCUGGUGGGGCAGUCGGCUACAGUUCUUUAUCUUAUCAGCUCCUACAAACACUGCAUUUCCCUGGUAAGAUCUCGGCACUUGAAGGUGAAAGGCCUUCCUGCCCUGGAGUUUGAUGGGAGCUGAGUUAUCAAAAGAGAAGUCUUCCUUACAGAUUGGUGUACUUCUUAUCAGGUCUAAGUGUGGAGACAUUUAAGAGAAUCAAGAGAAAGUGGAGCUGUUCCCUAAUGGGUAGAAUGAAAUGAGACCUGCUGACAGAAGCAUCAGAAUGCCUGGAAUACUGGCCAGGAAACAAGGUGGUGCUGAAAACUACACCCCAAAGGGCAUCGAGGUGAGCAGAGAAGAUGGACGGCCGCUUUCUCUAGCCGCUGCCUCUGUGAGUUUAGCAUUACCAUUGUGCCUUUAAUCCUCUCUAUUGAAACAAUGGAUGCAGUGUCUAUCUACCGACUGGACCUUGCCAGAUGCACAUUUAAAGUUGGCUCUGCUUGUUCAUCUGACUGUGGGACCAGUUUGCAUUGUGUGCCAAGCUUCCCGCUGAGUGCUGGGACACAGUGAUGACUAAGUCAAACAAGCUCCAGGUGCUCCCAGUGAGGAGGAGACCAGUGAACAGGCAGAGGGUGGACUCAGCGCCCGCCGCCACUGAGUGCAGGGAGAGAUUUCUAUGGUCAACAGCUAAUUCUCACUCAUCAUCGAGGUAGAUUCCUAGGACUGAAGUACGCACCGCUUCCAUACCACUGUGGAAAUCAUUGACCCACGCCUGAUUGCAUUGAUGGCCCAGCCCCAGAACAACUGCUCUCCAAG